UGCAGUCGAGCGGACAGAAGGGAGCUUGCUCCCGGAUGUUAGCGGCGGACGGGUGAGUAACACGUGGGUAACCUGCCUGUAAGACUGGGAUAACUCCGGGAAACCGGAGCUAAUACCGGAUAGUUCCUUGAACCGCAUGGUUCAAGGAUGAAAGACGGUUUCGGCUGUCACUUACAGAUGGACCCGCGGCGCAUUAGCUAGUUGGUGGGGUAAUGGCUCACCAAGGCGACGAUGCGUAGCCGACCUGAGAGGGUGAUCGGCCACACUGGGACUGAGACACGGCCCAGACUCCUACGGGAGGCAGCAGUAGGGAAUCUUCCGCAAUGGACGAAAGUCUGACGGAGCAACGCCGCGUGAGUGAUGAAGGUUUUCGGAUCGUAAAGCUCUGUUGUUAGGGAAGAACAAGUGCGAGAGUAACUGCUCGCACCUUGACGGUACCUAACCAGAAAGCCACGGCUAACUACGUGCCAGCAGCCGCGGUAAUACGUAGGUGGCAAGCGUUGUCCGGAAUUAUUGGGCGUAAAGGGCUCGCAGGCGGUUUCUUAAGUCUGAUGUGAAAGCCCCCGGCUCAACCGGGGAGGGUCAUUGGAAACUGGGAAACUUGAGUGCAGAAGAGGAGAGUGGAAUUCCACGUGUAGCGGUGAAAUGCGUAGAGAUGUGGAGGAACACCAGUGGCGAAGGCGACUCUCUGGUCUGUAACUGACGCUGAGGAGCGAAAGCGUGGGGAGCGAACAGGAUUAGAUACCCUGGUAGUCCACGCCGUAAACGAUGAGUGCUAAGUGUUAGGGGGUUUCCGCCCCUUAGUGCUGCAGCUAACGCAUUAAGCACUCCGCCUGGGGGAGUACGGUCGCAAGACUGAAACUCAAAGGAAUUGACGGGGGCCCGCACAAGCGGUGGAGCAUGUGGUUUAAUUCGAAGCAACGCGAAGAACCUUACCAGGUCUUGACAUCCUCUGACAACCCUAGAGAUAGGGCUUUCCCUUCGGGGACAGAGUGACAGGUGGUGCAUGGUUGUCGUCAGCUCGUGUCGUGAGAUGUUGGGUUAAGUCCCGCAACGAGCGCAACCCUUGAUCUUAGUUGCCAGCAUUCAGUUGGGCACUCUAAGGUGACUGCCGGUGACAAACCGGAGGAAGGUGGGGAUGACGUCAAAUCAUCAUGCCCCUUAUGACCUGGGCUACACACGUGCUACAAUGGACAGAACAAAGGGCUGCAAGACCGCAAGGUUUAGCCAAUCCCAUAAAUCUGUUCUCAGUUCGGAUCGCAGUCUGCAACUCGACUGCGUGAAGC
RNAcentral lists this ribosomal RNA (1286 nucleotides) under Bacillus sp. (in: firmicutes). RNAcentral's name for it is "bacterial SSU rRNA". It matches the Rfam family "Bacterial small subunit ribosomal RNA", at positions 56 to 1326 of the family's 1533-position model. The record is from RNAcentral. Lineage: Bacteria; Bacillati; Bacillota; Bacilli; Caryophanales; Bacillaceae.